Non-coding RNA from Mycena latifolia, 96 nucleotides. The record is from the annotation of a GenBank genome assembly. Lineage: Eukaryota; Fungi; Basidiomycota; Agaricomycetes; Agaricales; Mycenaceae.
GACCUGGUAGCACAACGGCUAGUGCACCUGCAUAUUGUGGAAUUUUCCCGCCUUAUGUUUCUGUAGAGAGUCUCCGUUCGACUCGGAGUCAGGUCA